Molecule: ribosomal RNA, 560 nt
Filed under: uncultured bacterium
Lineage: Bacteria
Description: partial 16S ribosomal RNA
Rfam family: Bacterial small subunit ribosomal RNA
Source: RNAcentral
UGGGGAAUAUUGGACAAUGGGCGCAAGCCUGAUCCAGCAAUGCCGCGUGUGUGAAGAAGGCCUUCGGGUUGUAAAGCACUUUUAUCAGGAGCGAAACGCUGUCGGCUAAUACCCGGCGGAACUGACGGUACCUGAGGAAUAAGCACCGGCUAACUUCGUGCCAGCAGCCGCGGUAAUACGAAGGGUGCAAGCGUUAAUCGGAAUUACUGGGCGUAAAGCGUGCGUAGGCGGUUUCUUAAGUCUGCUGUGAAAUCCCCGGGCUCAACCUGGGAAUGGCAGUGGAUACUGGGAGGCUAGAGUGUGUCAGAGGGUGGUGGAAUUCCCGGUGUAGCGGUGAAAUGCGUAGAGAUCGGGAGGAACAUCAGUGGCGAAGGCGGCCACCUGGGACAACACUGACGCUGAGGCACGAAAGCGUGGGGAGCAAACAGGAUUAGAUACCCUGGUAGUCCACGCCCUAAAGCGAUGCGAACUGGAUGUUGGUCUCAACUCGGAGAUCAGUGUCGAAGCUAACGCGUUAAGUUCGCCGCCUGGGGAGUACGGUCGCAAGACUGAAACUCAAA